UACGUAGGGGGCUAGCGUUGUCCGGAAUCAUUGGGCGUAAAGAGCGUGUAGGCGGCCCGGUAAGUCCGCUGUAAAAGUCAAAGGCUCAACCUUUGAAUGUCAGUGGAUACUGCCGGGCUAGAGUCCGGAAGAGGCGAGUGGAAUUCCUGGUGUAGCGGUGGAAUGCGCAGAUAUCAGGAGGAACACCGAUGGCGAAGGCAGGUCUCUGGGCCACUACUGACGCUGAGAAGCGAAAGCAUGGGGAGCGAACAGG
Molecule: ribosomal RNA, 253 nt
Filed under: uncultured bacterium
Lineage: Bacteria
Description: partial 16S ribosomal RNA
Rfam family: Bacterial small subunit ribosomal RNA
Source: RNAcentral